GACGAACGCUGGCGGCGUGCUUAACACAUGCAAGUCGAACGGAAAGGCCCUGCUUUUGUGGGGUGCUCGAGUGGCGAACGGGUGAGUAACACGUGAGUAACCUGCCCUUGACUUUGGGAUAACUUCAGGAAACUGGGGCUAAUACCGGAUAGGAGCUCCUGCUGCAUGGUGGGGGUUGGACAGUUUCGGCGGUUGGGGAUGGACUCGCGGCUUAUCAGCUUGUUGGUGGGGUAGUGGCUUACCAAGGCUUUGACGGGUAGCCGGCCUGAGAGGGUGACCGGCGACAUUGGGACUGAGAUACGGCCCAGACUCCUACGGGAGGCAGCAGUGGGGAAUAUUGCACAAUGGGCGGAAGCCUGAUGCAGCAACGCCGCGUGCGGGAUGACGGCCUUCGGGUUGUAAACCGCUUUCGCCUGUGACGAAGCGUGAGUGACGGUAAUGGGUAAAGAAGCACCGGCUAACUACGUG
This 468-nucleotide ribosomal RNA is filed under the name uncultured bacterium. RNAcentral's name for it is "partial 16S ribosomal RNA". It matches the Rfam family "Bacterial small subunit ribosomal RNA", at positions 28 to 507 of the family's 1533-position model. The record is from RNAcentral.